GAUGAACGCUGGCGGCGUGCCUAAUACAUGCAAGUCGAGCGAACGGACGAGAAGCUUGCUUCUCUGAUGUUAGCGGCGGACGGGUGAGUAACACGUGGAUAACCUACCUAUAAGACUGGGAUAACUUCGGGAAACCGGAGCUAAUACCGGAUAAUAUUUUGAACCGCAUGGUUCAAAAGUGAAAGACGGUCUUGCUGUCACUUAUAGAUGGAUCCGCGCUGCAUUAGCUAGUUGGUAAGGUAACGGCUUACCAAGGCAACGAUGCAUAGCCGACCUGAGAGGGUGAUCGGCCACACUGGAACUGAGACACGGUCCAGACUCCUACGGGAGGCAGCAGUAGGGAAUCUUCCGCAAUGGGCGAAAGCCUGACGGAGCAACGCCGCGUGAGUGAUGAAGGUCUUCGGAUCGGAAAACUCUGUUAUUAGGGAAGAACAAAUGUGUAAGUAACUGUGCACAUCUUGACGGUACCUAAUCAGAAAGCCACGGCUAACUACGUG
This 497-nucleotide ribosomal RNA is filed under the name uncultured bacterium. RNAcentral describes it as "partial 16S ribosomal RNA". It matches the Rfam family "Bacterial small subunit ribosomal RNA", at positions 28 to 507 of the family's 1533-position model. The record is from RNAcentral.